RNAcentral lists this ribosomal RNA (515 nucleotides) under uncultured bacterium. RNAcentral's name for it is "partial 16S ribosomal RNA". It matches the Rfam family "Bacterial small subunit ribosomal RNA", at positions 28 to 523 of the family's 1533-position model. The record is from RNAcentral.
GAUGAACGCUGGCGGCGUGCCUAAUACAUGCAAGUCGAGCGAAUGGAUUAAGAGCUUGCUCUUAUGAAGUUAGCGGCGGACGAGUGAGUAACACGUGGGUAACCUGCCCAUAAGACUGGGAUAACUCCGGGAAACCGGGGCUAAUACCGGAUAACAUUUUGAACCGCAUGGUUCGAAAUUGAAAGGCGGCUUCGGCUGUCACUUAUGGAUGGACCUGCGGCGCAUUAGCUAGUUGGUGAGGUAACGGCUCACCAAGGCAACGAUGCGUAGCCGACCUGAGAGGGUGAUCGGCCACACUGGGACUGAGACACGGCCCAGACUCCUACGGGAGGCAGCAGUAGGGAAUCUUCCGCAAUGGACGAAAGUCUGACGGAGCAACGCCGCGUGAGUGAUGAAGGCUUUCGGGUCGUAAAACUCUGUUGUUAGGGAAGAACAAGUGCUAGUUGAAUAAGCUGGCACCUUGACGGUACCUAACCAGAAAGCCACGGCUAACUACGUGCCAGCCGCCGCUGUAA